Molecule: long non-coding RNA, 313 nt
Filed under: Anser brachyrhynchus (Pink-footed goose)
Lineage: Eukaryota; Metazoa; Chordata; Aves; Anseriformes; Anatidae
Description: lncRNA (ENSABRG00000021108.1)
Source: RNAcentral
UUCUUUUCUCACAUUUUUGCCCACCCCCAGGGGAAUUAGGGAGAGUCCUGAUGCUGUGCCAGCACUGCUCAGCAGCAGACACAGCACUGGUGUGAUACCAUUGCUGUUUUAGCUACGAGUGCAGAGCACAGCACUGUAUGGGCUGCUGCAGGGAAAGUUAACAUCCCAGCCUGACCCAGUACAUGGUGCCUGAUGUAAUCCUCUGUGAUGUUUGCGAUUCUGGCUCAGCACAUGGGCACCAGAUGAGGCAGAGCAUACUGCAGCUAACCUAAGACACUGCUUUACCUCAGUGAUUCACAUCAGCACUUCCAAA